UACGAACCGUACAAACGUUAUUCGGAAUCACUGGGCUUAAAGGGUGCGUAGGCGGCCAUGUAAGUGGGGUGUGAAAUCCCACGGCUCACCCGUGGAACUGCAGGGCAUACUGUCGUGCUUGAGGCAGGUAGGGGCCACUGGAACUCUCGGUGGAACGGUGAAAUGUGUAGAUAUCGAGAGGAACGCCCGCGGCGAAAGCGGGUGGCUGGGCCUGUCCUGACGCUGAUACGCGAAAGCGUGGGGAGCAAACGGG
RNAcentral lists this ribosomal RNA (253 nucleotides) under uncultured bacterium. RNAcentral describes it as "partial 16S ribosomal RNA". It matches the Rfam family "Bacterial small subunit ribosomal RNA", at positions 524 to 776 of the family's 1533-position model. The record is from RNAcentral.